GAACUUGUGGAAGGAUCAUUG
This 21-nucleotide ribosomal RNA is filed under the name Selenicereus donkelaarii. Its description in RNAcentral is "partial 18S ribosomal RNA". Lineage: Eukaryota; Viridiplantae; Streptophyta; Magnoliopsida; Caryophyllales; Cactaceae. The record is from RNAcentral. RNAcentral also lists the same sequence under 2 other names.